RNAcentral lists this ribosomal RNA (550 nucleotides) under uncultured bacterium. RNAcentral's name for it is "bacterial SSU rRNA". It matches the Rfam family "Bacterial small subunit ribosomal RNA", at positions 355 to 896 of the family's 1533-position model. The record is from RNAcentral.
UAGGGAAUCUUCGGCAAUGGACGGAAGUCUGACCGAGCAACGCCGCGUGAGUGAAGAAGGUUUUCGGAUCGUAAAGCUCUGUUGUAAGAGAAGAACGAGUGUGAGAGUGGAAAGUUCACACUGUGACGGUAUCUUACCAGAAAGGGACGGCUAACUACGUGCCAGCAGCCGCGGUAAUACGUAGGUCCCGAGCGUUAUCCGGAUUUAUUGGGCGUAAAGCGAGCGCAGGCGGUUAGAUAAGUCUGAAGUUAAAGGCUGUGGCUUAACCAUAGUACGCUUUGGAAACUGUUUAACUUGAGUGCAGAAGGGGAGAGUGGAAUUCCAUGUGUAGCGGUGAAAUGCGUAGAUAUAUGGAGGAACACCGGUGGCGAAAGCGGCUCUCUGGUCUGUAACUGACGCUGAGGCUCGAAAGCGUGGGGAGCAAACAGGAUUUGAUACCCUGGUAGUCCACGCCGUAAACGAUGAGUGCUAGGUGUUGGGUCCUUUCCGGGACUCAGUGCCGCAGCUAACGCAUUAAGCACUCCGCCUGGGGAGUACGACCGCAAGGUUG